This 271-nucleotide ribosomal RNA is filed under the name uncultured bacterium. Its description in RNAcentral is "partial 16S ribosomal RNA". It matches the Rfam family "Bacterial small subunit ribosomal RNA", at positions 524 to 794 of the family's 1533-position model. The record is from RNAcentral.
UACGAAGGGUGCAAGCGUUAAUCGGAAUUACUGGGCGUAAAGCGCGCGUAGGUGGUUCAGCAAGUUGGAUGUGAAAGCCCUGGGCUCAACCUGGGAACUGCAUCCAAAACUACUGAGCUAGAGUACGGUAGAGGGUAGUGGAAUUUCCUGUGUAGCGGUGAAAUGCGUAGAUAUAGGAAGGAAUACCAGAGGCGAAGGCGGCUACCUGGACAAUUGCUGACGCUCAGGCACGAAAGCGUGGGGAGCAAAAGGGAUUAGAAACCCGGGUAGU